RNAcentral lists this ribosomal RNA (744 nucleotides) under Acinetobacter lwoffii. RNAcentral's name for it is "bacterial SSU rRNA". It matches the Rfam family "Bacterial small subunit ribosomal RNA", at positions 77 to 816 of the family's 1533-position model. Lineage: Bacteria; Pseudomonadati; Pseudomonadota; Gammaproteobacteria; Moraxellales; Moraxellaceae. The record is from RNAcentral.
AGCUUGCUACCUGACCUAGCGGCGGACGGGUGAGUAAUGCUUAGGAAUCUGCCUAUUAGUGGGGGACAACAUCUCGAAAGGGAUGCUAAUACCGCAUACGUCCUACGGGAGAAAGCAGGGGACCUUCGGGCCUUGCGCUAAUAGAUGAGCCUAAGUCGGAUUAGCUAGUUGGUGGGGUAAAGGCCUACCAAGGCGACGAUCUGUAGCGGGUCUGAGAGGAUGAUCCGCCACACUGGGACUGAGACACGGCCCAGACUCCUACGGGAGGCAGCAGUGGGGAAUAUUGGACAAUGGGGGGAACCCUGAUCCAGCCAUGCCGCGUGUGUGAAGAAGGCCUUUUGGUUGUAAAGCACUUUAAGCGAGGAGGAGGCUACCGAGAUUAAUACUCUUGGAUAGUGGACGUUACUCGCAGAAUAAGCACCGGCUAACUCUGUGCCAGCAGCCGCGGUAAUACAGAGGGUGCAAGCGUUAAUCGGAUUUACUGGGCGUAAAGCGCGCGUAGGUGGCCAAUUAAGUCAAAUGUGAAAUCCCCGAGCUUAACUUGGGAAUUGCAUUCGAUACUGGUUGGCUAGAGUAUGGGAGAGGAUGGUAGAAUUCCAGGUGUAGCGGUGAAAUGCGUAGAGAUCUGGAGGAAUACCGAUGGCGAAGGCAGCCAUCUGGCCUAAUACUGACACUGAGGUGCGAAAGCAUGGGGAGCAAACAGGAUUAGAUACCCUGGUAGUCCAUGCCGUAAACGAUGUCUAC